AUAACCACUGGACCAUACUUCCUCUCCUGCAGAAGAGAUAUAGGGAAGGCAGUAACAGCAAAGCUUUCCCAACAUACUCAAGCCAUAAUGUCUCACCCCUGACCAGAAGGGACCAUCUCAAGAAGGUGGAAAGUAGUUGAGUCUCCAGGUCCAUUCAGUCCUUGGCCUCU
RNAcentral lists this small RNA (170 nucleotides) under Chelonoidis abingdonii (Abingdon island giant tortoise). Its description in RNAcentral is "TUC338 (ENSCABG00000008331.1)". Lineage: Eukaryota; Metazoa; Chordata; Testudines; Testudinidae. The record is from RNAcentral.